This is a non-coding RNA of Tinamus guttatus (white-throated tinamou), 329 nucleotides long. Lineage: Eukaryota; Metazoa; Chordata; Aves; Tinamiformes; Tinamidae. The record is from RefSeq and is a predicted model, not a curated record.
AUAUUCAGCAAGCAGCUGCUGCAAAAGCCAUUGGCAUUUUAGCCAAGGAGUCGGCCGCAGUGGCAGAAGAGCUGAUCCAGCUGGAAGUGGUGCACAGCCUGAUGGUGGCUAUGGGGAAUCAGGAUCACGCGGUCAGCCAGAGACACGCCAGCGUCUCCUUGGUGUAUUUUGUCCACACAUUUCCCUCUGUGGAGGAGACCGUGAGAUUGGCAGUAGGGGACACAUUGUUCCAGCUCUUUAUGGACAGUCCUGAGACAUGGUACACAAAAAUGGAUUCAUUCCAGGCUGAAAUACUGGCCUACAGUGGAGAGGACAGGCCCCAGGAGCUG